Molecule: regulatory RNA element, 105 nt
Organism: Clostridium perfringens str. 13
Lineage: Bacteria; Bacillati; Bacillota; Clostridia; Eubacteriales; Clostridiaceae
Rfam family: TPP riboswitch aptamer (THI element)
About the family: Vitamin B(1) in its active form thiamin pyrophosphate (TPP) is an essential coenzyme that is synthesised by coupling of pyrimidine and thiazole moieties in bacteria. The previously detected thiamin-regulatory element, thi box was extended, resulting in a new, highly conserved RNA secondary structure, the THI element, which is widely distributed in eubacteria and also occurs in some archaea.
Source: Rfam
UUCAUGUGCUAGGGGUGCCUUUAGGCUGAGAGAUGAUUAUUUUAUCAUUAACCCUCAACACCUGAUCUGGAAAAUUCCAGCGUAGGGAAGCGUUUAGGGCUGUAU